This 510-nucleotide ribosomal RNA is filed under the name uncultured bacterium. RNAcentral's name for it is "partial 16S ribosomal RNA". It matches the Rfam family "Bacterial small subunit ribosomal RNA", at positions 28 to 507 of the family's 1533-position model. The record is from RNAcentral.
GACGAACGCUGGCGGCGUGCUUAACACAUGCAAGUCGAACGAAGAGCGAUGGAAGCUUGCUUCUAUCAAUCUUAGUGGCGAACGGGUGAGUAACGCGUAAUCAACCUGCCCUUCAGAGGGGGACAACAGUUGGAAACGACUGCUAAUACCGCAUACGAUCCAAUCUCGGCAUCGGGACUGGAUGAAAGGUGGCCUCUAUUUAUAAGCUAUCACUGAAGGAGGGGAUUGCGUCUGAUUAGCUAGUUGGAGGGGUAACGGCCCACCAAGGCGAUGAUCAGUAGCCCGUCUGAGAGGAUGAACGGCCACAUUGGGACUGGGACCCGGCCCAGGCUCCUACGGGAGGCAGCAGUGGGGAAUCUUCCGCAAUGGACGAAAGUCUGACGGAGCAACGCCGCGUGAGUGAUGACGGCCUUCGGGUUGUAAAGCUCUGUUAAUCGGGACGAAUGGUUCUUGUGCGAAUAGUGCGAGGAUUUGACGGUACCGGAAUAGAAAGCCACGGCUAACUACGUG